UUUAUUUGCCAUAGACAACUUGUGCAUAAUGUGGUAAGUAGUAAAUGACAAGUUAUUGUUUAAAUAAAUGUCACUGAACUUCAAAACCUACAUUUUUGCUUUUAUAACAUCCGAUCUUUUUUCGCAGAUUAUAGAUUUGUCUGGUCAAUUAGUUUGCCCCGAACGCCGCUAUGGGCAGAACCACAAAGCGGCGUACAAAAAACAUACGUAAACGGCGUAAAGUAGGUACAAGCUGCCUUACAAUAUCACUAUCACCAUAGCACCAAAUCGAGAAACCUGGCUUGGCGAAAUGUUUUGUAUAAUACACAUACUGCUGAAACGUCAAACGGUUCAACGAAUGCAGACUGAUCAUCAAGCACAAACGUCGGUGUCAGAUGUCCAUAACGGACGUGUACUCCCAAAGGACACGAGGCAGCAUACAAAUCAAUAAAAAUAAUUUGUAUAUAAAUGCAGUAAAUA
Long non-coding RNA from Leguminivora glycinivorella, 459 nucleotides. RefSeq lists it as uncharacterized. NCBI's taxonomy places the organism in Eukaryota, Metazoa, Arthropoda, Insecta, Lepidoptera, Tortricidae. The record is from RefSeq and is a predicted model, not a curated record. The transcript is spliced from 3 exons.